CCAAACUUGGUCAUUUAGAGGAAGUAAAAGUCGUAACAAGGUCUCCGUAGGUGAACCUGCGGAGGGAUCAUUACCGAGCGAGGGCUCCGGCCCGACCUCCAACCCUUUGUUGACCUAUAUAUUGUAUAUCACGCAUAUACACUUAUAAUCACCUGUUGCCUCGGGGGUGACCCGGCCUCGGCGUCGGCGUCGCCCCCGGUGGACCAUUCCAACUCUGUAUCUUUACGUCGGAGUUUGUUGCAAAUCAAUCAAAACUUUCAACAACGGAUCUCUUGGUUCUGGCAUCGAUGAAGAACGCAGC
This 301-nucleotide unclassified non-coding RNA is filed under the name uncultured fungus. RNAcentral's name for it is "partial contains small subunit ribosomal RNA, internal transcribed spacer 1, and 5.8S ribosomal RNA". The stretch from base 1 to 73 matches the Rfam family "Eukaryotic small subunit ribosomal RNA", at positions 1759 to 1831 of the family's 1831-position model. The record is from RNAcentral. Lineage: Eukaryota; Fungi.